RNAcentral lists this long non-coding RNA (1867 nucleotides) under Homo sapiens (human). Its description in RNAcentral is "non-protein coding THUMPD3-AS1:53". Lineage: Eukaryota; Metazoa; Chordata; Mammalia; Primates; Hominidae. The record is from RNAcentral.
AGAGAGCCUCGGCUAGGUGUGGAAACAGGAAGAGAACUAGAACUGGAAGUAAAGCAUUGAAGAUGUGACUGAAUUGCUGCAAUCUCAUGAUCAAAUUUGAAUGGAUGAGGAGUUGCUUUUUAGGGAUGAGCAAAGAAAGUGGUUUCUCGAGAUGGAAUCUACUGGUGAAGUUGCUGUGAACAUUGUUAAAAUGCCAAUAAAGGAUUUAGGAAUUACAGAAACCUGGUUGAUAAAGCAGUGCCAGGGUGUGAGAGAGUUGACUUCAAUUUUGAAAUAAGUUCCACUGGCUGGGUGUGGUGGCUCACACCUGCAAUCCCAGUACUUUAGGAGGCCGAGACUGGUAGAUCAUUUGAGGUCAGGAGUUCAAGACCAGCCUUGCCAACAUGGUGAAACCCCACCUCUACCAAAUUAGCCAGGUGUGGUGCACACCUGUAGUCCCAGCUACUUGGGAAGCUGAGGCAGGAGAAUCUCUUGAACCAGGGAGGAGGAGGUUGCAGUAAGCCGAGAUGGCGCCCCUGCACUCCAGCCUGGGUGACAGAGUGAGACCUUGCGUUUAAAAAAAAAAAAAAAGGAAAAGGAAAAAAAAGUUCUACUGUGGGUAAAAUGCUAUCAUGCUAUCAAACAGCAUCACAUGCUACAGAGAAGUCUUGUGAAAGGAUGUCAGUGUGGCAAACUUCAUUGUCUUUUAAGAAAUUGCCACAGCUAUCGUAAUCUUCAACCACCACCACCCUGAUGAGUCAGUAGCCAUCGUUAACGUUGGCGUAAGACCCUCCACCAGCAAAAAGAUUGUUAGCAUUUUUUUAGCAGUGAUGUAUUUAUCAAUUAUACAUAAUGCUAUUGUACACUUCUUAAUAGACUAUGGUAUAGUGUAACCAUAAUUUAUGCACUGGGAAACCAACAAAUUCAUGAGAUUCGCUUUAUUGUAGUGCUCUGGAAUUGAGCCUGCCGUGUUUCUGAGGUUGCUCCUUGAGGGCAGGACAGUUCUUAUGGCUUUAUCCGUUGCGUAAGCACAGAGAGGUCUGCGAGGUCAAAACUAUUGUCAUGAUAGCAAGAUGCCUGUCUUUUUCAUUUAUUCUCACGGUGUGCAGAGGCUACAUGAUGUGUGAUGACAUCCUCAUUGAUGUUAAUGAAUGGUGCUAUACUUGAAUUUUCUAAGGUGUCAUUAGCAAUUCUCCUGCCUCAGCCUCCUGCAUAACUGGGACUACAGGGAAGCACCAUUUUCCACAAAACUCUCAAGAAGGACUUGUUGCAACUGGAAAAGCAAUUAAAUGUGAAUCGUGAUCCAGGAGAAAGUAACAACUCACAUAACUCCCAAAUUAAAAGUUUUCCAAAGAUAUAUCAUUUUUUUUCUCUUGGCCUUUUAAGAAACUAGCCAACAAAUACUCUUGACAGGUUUGUGUUUGGUUUUGAAAACACACACCUUAGUGUACUGAAAGAAAAACAAUUUCUUUUAAUUUGGUUUGUUGGUCCCACACCCCAUCUAUCAAUGUAUGUGCUAUUUACAAAUAAGUUCUAUACAGUAUUUUUGCAGUACCUUUGAUAAUUCCUAGACCUCUAUUUUCAUUCUGUGUAUUAAUGUGAAUAACAGAUGGAUAUUUUAAUAUUUAAGGCAGAUGGUAAACUUUCCUAUAGGUCUUGUGAGACUUCGUCUUAUAGGCUGAACACCAUUCACAAAAUGUAAUAAUGCUUCAUUCCUUCAGGUUGAGGUAAAGAACUUGAGCAACUGGAUUAGCAAAGCUGCAAAGAAUGAAAUGUGGCCUAAGAUGUAAUUAUGUUCUCUGCCCUUCCUUUGGGCCAGGGUAGUUUUGCACUUGACACAAUGGAAAAUAGGCCAUAAAGCCUGAAAAUAAAAUGUUCUAAACCCCAA